This is an RNA transcript of Populus nigra (black poplar), 2859 nucleotides long. It is a transcript of the gene named serine hydroxymethyltransferase 7-like, with no coding region annotated. Lineage: Eukaryota; Viridiplantae; Streptophyta; Magnoliopsida; Malpighiales; Salicaceae. The record is from RefSeq and is a predicted model, not a curated record. The transcript is spliced from 6 exons.
AUUCUGUAUUGCUAGCUGCCUGAAAGGAUCAUCCACGUAAUUCUCUCCCUCGAAGCACAACGCCCUCAAAACAAACAAAUGGUCCAUACCCUCUCUCUCUCCCUCUCCGCCAAAAAUCAUUCUCUACAAUCAGAAUUAGGAUCCUGUCGCUGUCACACCACCACCACCACCACCACCAGUCCCUGUUCCGUUACCGCCGUCGCAAAGACCCCUCCUGUCCCUGUUUUUGCUGCUGUGCUCUCUGAACUUUCUGAUUUUAAAGAAAAUGGACUCUAAAUUAAAUCUAGGGUUUCACCGUACACAAAUAACCGACGAUUCAAUCUCUCUCCAGCUCGACUCCAGCCUCCGCGACCUCCCCACCGCAAACCCGGUUUCACCCGUUCCUCUCCAAUUGCUCGAGCCACUGACCGAGUCUCACUACUGCAAUAACCAAAACGGAGAGAAAGAAGAAGACGACGAUGACAGAGAUGUCGAGGAGUUUAGGAUAUUAGGGCACUCUUUGUGUUUCAAACGCCGAAGAGAGAGCGAUUCUUUGAGGAGCAAUAAAAGAGAGGCAUCCUCCUCUUCUAAUGGAUUGGAUGUUGAAGAGCGCAGGAGUCUUGUCAAAACAUGGGGGAACCAGCCGCUAAGCGCGGCGGAUUCGGAGAUUUUUGAGAUAAUGGAGAAAGAGAAAGAGAGGCAGUUUAAAGGGAUUGAAUUGAUUGCGUCGGAGAAUUUUGUAUGUAGGGCGGUAAUGGAGGCUCUUGGAAGUCAUUUAACGAAUAAGUAUUCGGAGGGAAUGCCUGCAGCGCGAUAUUAUGGUGGGAAUCAGUACAUUGAUGAGAUUGAACUGCUGUGUUGUAAGAGAGCACUGGAGGCUUUUGGUUUGGAUUCUGAGAGUUGGGGAGUAAAUGUGCAGCCGUAUUCGUGUACUUCGGCUAAUUUCGCUGUGUAUACUGGGUUGUUGUUGCCGGGGGAUAGGAUUAUGGGGUUGGACACACCAUCUGGAGGGAAUACUAGUCAUGGCUAUUAUACCCCUCAUGGGCGGAAGGUUUCCGGUGCAUCUAUUUUCUUCGAGAGUUUGCCUUAUAAGGUCAAUCCUCAAACUGGGUAUAUUGAUUUAGAUAAGUUAGAGGAGAGAGCACUUGAUUUUAGGCCAAAAAUACUCAUUUGUGGUGGUAGCUCGUAUCCAAGGGAGUGGGAUUAUGCGAGGUUAAGGCAUAUCGCAGAUAAGUGUGGUGCUGUGCUUAUGUGUGAUAUGGCACAGAUUAGUGGUCUUGUUGCUGCUAAGGAAUGUCUGAACCCCUUUGUUUACUGUGAUAUUGUUACCUCAACAACCCAUAAAAGUCUUCGAGGUCCAAGGGGAGGCAUCAUUUUCUACAGGAAGGGUACAAAACCAAGGAAAAGGGGGAUCCAUCUAGGUCAAGGAGAUGAGAGUGAUCAAUAUGAUUUCGAGGAAAAGAUAAAUUUUGCUGUUUUUCCAUCAUUGCAAGGUGGACCGCAUAAUAACCACAUUGCUGCUCUUGCCAUAGCCUUUAAACAAGUGGCUACCCCUGAGUACAAGGCAUACAUGCAACAGGUGAAGAAAAACGCACAGUAUUUAGCAGCUGCUUUGCUGAGAAGAAAAUGCAGGCUAGUAACUGGAGGCACAGAUAACCAUUUGCUACUCUGGGAUCUCAGGCCUUUGGGAUUAACAGGUAAAGCUUAUGAAAAGGUCUGCGAGUUGUGCCACAUCACAGUAAAUAAAAUUGCUAUUUUUGGGGAGAAUGGAACUAUUACUCCUGGAGGUGUAAGGAUUGGUACUCCUGCCAUGACUUCAAGAGGUUGCCUGGAAUCUGAUUUUGAGACAAUUGCUGAUUUUCUCCUGAAAGCUGCACAUAUUGCUUAUAUGGUGCUGCGUGAACAUGGGAAGCUGCAGAAGGCUUUCAUGAAUGGUCUGCAAACCAAGAAAGAAAUUUUAGAGCUCCAGAAGCAAGUUGAAAAUUUUGCAACUCAGUUUGCAAUGCCAGGUUUUGACAUGUGAAUGGGUUUUGGGAAUGAAAUAUUUGAAGUGCCUCCCUGAGCUCUUUUAAAGCUGGCAGUCAUCCCUAUGCGCCUCAUUUUGUUGGCUCUAGACAACAAACAGUCCUGGGCUUCUAUAGACAACAGUUUUGGUUACAUCUGUGGUUGCCAACCUCCUGAAAUUGCAAGAUGUCACAUUGCCACAGGGAGGGAUUUUACUGUCUGUUGACGGAUAACAAGAGGAUCUUGUUGGCUAUGAACCCUUUGUCCUCUUGUAACCAGACAGCAGCAUCACCUCUCUGAUCACUCUGGUAAAAAUGGUGGCCUGACUCUGGAAAAAGAGUAGGCCUGAUAUGAUGUACAGUUGAUCUUCGAUCUCUUGUAACACUACUGUCAUCACAUUUUGUCUGGAGCCAUUGUUGCUAUAGUUUGGAAUAAUUUUGUCUCAGGAUGCAGCUGUUUAGUUCGCCACCAUCUCUCAGAAUGAUAGACGGACGUGCAUUUUAGGUUUAAGCAAAUGGUGGUUGAUAGAUGUUGCAGAUUUUUAGCGAUGCACAUGCCUCAUACUGGAUCAUUUCAUAUUGGUGUUCAACUCUUUAGGUAUAUCCAUGACUGUCAACUUUCUUCUUUUGAAGGUAUUCAUUUGAACAUAUGAUCUGGUCUAAUAUUGUAUUUGCGUCUUAUGGAGGUUUUUUUUUUUUUUGUUACCAAAACAAUUGUAUUUCAUAUUUCAUAAGCUUAUUUUCCCAUGGGGCACUUCAGAACUUAUUUCUCAAAUAUUGGUGUUUUUAUCUUUGAAAUCGCCAUUUGUAUUAGAUUAGGAAAAUAAUAUAUUAUACAAAUUUCAAAUAAAGAAAUUAAAACUCUAGAUUCAUACCA